This 1019-nucleotide long non-coding RNA is filed under the name Vombatus ursinus (common wombat). RNAcentral's name for it is "lncRNA (ENSVURG00010009317.1)". The record is from RNAcentral. Lineage: Eukaryota; Metazoa; Chordata; Mammalia; Diprotodontia; Vombatidae.
CCCCAGCUGCCGCCAGAUGCAAGGCCGCUUCUAGCGGGGCUGCUCCGGGGGAAUGGGGCGGGUUUUGCGAGGGGCUUUAAGACACCCGCCCUAUUGUCUCCCUCCGCUUCCCCCCCAAAGCUGGAGACAGAGAUGGCUCCAACUCUUGUGGGGUACCCCCCCCCAAUGCUCCGGGGUGAACAGCUUUCAGCAAACAUGCUGGCUUGACUUGCGUGUGUGCCUCCGAAACUGUGGGGAUCGUGUACAUUUCAAAGCGACGGGAGUAUCAGAAUGGGACUGCCUGUCAGUGAUCUGUAAAGGAAAUGAAAGGCUGAAAAGUUGGUGGAAGAAGAUGAAAGAGAUUGCUCCCUCCCUUUGUCUACAGCCCCCAGACUGAGGCUCUCAGCUGCAGAAAUACAAAGUUCCCCAACUUGCAUUUCUUUCCUCACCCCACGAAAAAUAACUUGGUCUGUGUAGGGCAAUGAGUUUUCAUGGGCUUGCUCUGUAGUACAAUUCUCUAUGCCCAACCUGGUAAAUGGUGUGGGAUACCCUGUGAGCUACCAUAGCAUCAACUGAGGCUUUGAUCAUGGCCAUUUACGGGGCAAAGCAAAGAACUUCAGUGUCUACAGGGAAAGACUAGAGUCGAGUUACCAGGGACAUCUUUGGGGACACCUGCCCACUCUCUACUGGUCAGAAGAACAUAGGACCAUCUCAACUGAAUCUGAACAUCUAGUCAACUGGGAAUAAGAAUGGUAAUUCACACUAACAGAGAGUACUCCAGUUUUCAAAGUGGUUUCACAUGGUGUUUUAAGGAGGAAGAUACAAAAACAAUGCUCUAUUUACAGAGGACUUGAGGUUAAAGUCUGGUAUGAAAGUAGUAUUAACCCCAUUUUACAGUUAGGGAAACUGAGGCUGGGGGAAGUAACUUGCUCAAGGUUACCCAGAGAGGCUAAAAUCUGGGCCUCUUCUGGAACAAGGCUCUUUCCACCAAACUAUAAUCAUACAACAAACCCAGGUCUUCUGACUGGCCAGUCCCCCAC